This 236-nucleotide ribosomal RNA is filed under the name uncultured Actinomycetales bacterium. Its description in RNAcentral is "partial 16S ribosomal RNA". It matches the Rfam family "Bacterial small subunit ribosomal RNA", at positions 96 to 334 of the family's 1533-position model. The record is from RNAcentral. Lineage: Bacteria; Bacillati; Actinomycetota; Actinomycetes; Actinomycetales.
UGGCGAACGGGUGAGUAACACGUGGGUAAUCUGCCCUGCACUCUGGGAUAAGCCUGGGAAACUGGGUCUAAUACUGGAUAUGACCUUUCUCCUUAUGGGGUUUGGUGGAAAGUUUUUCGGUGUAGGAUUAGCCCGCGGCCUAUCAGCUUGUUGGUGGGGUGAUGGCCUACCAAGGCGACGACGGGUAGCCGGCCUGAGAGGGUGAUCGGCCACAUUGGGACUGAGAUACGGCCCAG